AGGCUUUGAUCCUGGCUCAGGAUGAACGCUGGCGGUCUGCUUAACACAUGCAAGUCGAACGGGGUUCUUCGGAACCUAGUGGCGGACGGGUGAGUAACGCGUGAGAAUCUGCCCUUAGGAGGGGGAUAACGACUGGAAACGGUCGCUAAUACCCCAUAUGCCGAGAGGUGAAACGGUGAAUUCCGCCUGAGGAUGAGCUCGCGUCUGAUUAGCUAGUUGGUGGGGUAAGAGCCUACCAAGGCGACGAUCAGUAGCUGGUCUGAGAGGAUGACCAGCCACACUGGGACUGAGACACGGCCCAGACUCCUACGGGAGGCAGCAGUGGGGAAUUUUCCGCAAUGGGCGCAAGCCUGACGGAGCAAGACCGCGUGGGGGAAGACGGUUUGUGGAUUGUAAACCCCUUUUGACCGGGAAGAAGCCUGACGGUACCGUUCGAAUCAGCCUCGGCUA
RNAcentral lists this ribosomal RNA (450 nucleotides) under uncultured Leptolyngbya sp. Its description in RNAcentral is "bacterial SSU rRNA". It matches the Rfam family "Bacterial small subunit ribosomal RNA", at positions 8 to 499 of the family's 1533-position model. The record is from RNAcentral. Lineage: Bacteria; Bacillati; Cyanobacteriota; Cyanophyceae; Leptolyngbyales; Leptolyngbyaceae.